UCAUAACAAAACCUACCAGAAAAAUCCCACCUACCUACCAGACAGAUUUUUUUUUCUCUAGCAUUAGGAUUAAAUAGUUGAAUAGGAUAACUAUCGUAAAUGCAAAACUUUGCCAGUUUAUAUGAGAUGGAGACUUGAAAAUAAUUUUCUUUGAGAUAUAGAAGAUUUAGCUAAUUAACAUUCAAGAAGAGUGAUCUCCUUCUUACACAAUUGUAUUAAAUAGUAAUCAGCUCCCAAUUAGAUACAUAAAAUUAAUAAGAUUUUUCCUUCAUAUAAACAAGAAAGGAAAAAGAAGGGGAAAAAAAAAAGACACAUCAUAGUUUCUCAGGAAUGAAAAGGCUUAGUAAUGAAGUUAACACAAGAAUAAUCCAUCACCU
This 377-nucleotide unclassified non-coding RNA is filed under the name Hevea brasiliensis (rubber tree). Lineage: Eukaryota; Viridiplantae; Streptophyta; Magnoliopsida; Malpighiales; Euphorbiaceae. The record is from RNAcentral.